CGGGAAUACCGGGGCUAAUACCGGUGGUUGUUUGAACCGCAUGGUUCAAACAUAAAAGGUGGCUUCGGCUACCACUUACAGAUGGACCCGCGGCGCAUUAGCUAGUUGGUGAGGUAACGGCUCACCAAGGCAACGAUGCGUAGCCGACCUGAGAGGGUGAUCGGCCACACUGGGACUGAGACACGGCCCAGACUCCUACGGGAGGCAGCAGUAGGGAAUCUUCCGCAAUGGACGAAAGUCUGACGGAGCAACGCCGCGUGAGUGAUGAAGGUUUUCGGAUCGUAAAGCUCUGUUGUUAGGGAUAGAACAAGUACCGUUCGAAUAGGGCGGUACCUUGACGGUACCUAACCAGAAAGCCACGGCUAACUACGUGCCAGCAG
This 380-nucleotide ribosomal RNA is filed under the name Bacillus subtilis. RNAcentral describes it as "bacterial SSU rRNA". It matches the Rfam family "Bacterial small subunit ribosomal RNA", at positions 150 to 514 of the family's 1533-position model. The record is from RNAcentral. Lineage: Bacteria; Bacillati; Bacillota; Bacilli; Caryophanales; Bacillaceae.